This 540-nucleotide long non-coding RNA is filed under the name Equus caballus (horse). RNAcentral's name for it is "lncRNA (ENSECAG00000034598.3)". The record is from RNAcentral. Lineage: Eukaryota; Metazoa; Chordata; Mammalia; Perissodactyla; Equidae.
GACACUUCUUAUUUCGGGUCCUGCCUCCCCAGCAGCAGUCUGCAACUUGCCGGCAUCCAGGCAGGACGGCGGCCACAGAGCAGAGGAGAGAGCUACAAUGAAUAUAAGUUUGUGGAGGAAAUUCUGGUGGAGGUUUUAUGAUAAAAGAAAAAAUUCUCCUCCAUUGCGGUCCUGCUGCAGUCCCAGCAACCUGGUCAACUGCAGAGGCUACCACGGUGCCGUCGGCUUCUCCUCUUUACCCUUGCUGGAGUCUGAGUCUCUGAUUCCCGCCCGCCUGGCUUCUCCAAGCUCCCCGUCCCCCAUCUCCUUGCCCACCCACCCUCUGCAAAGGACCCCGGGGCUGGUUCCUUGGCAGAAGCCCUGUCUCCCGACAAGAUGGGAAGUGAUGUCACGCUGCGCACAGGAGCCUGCUCUUCUGGGGAUGUUCACGGGUGUGACACAGUUCAGAGACUGUUGCCUCUCACUGACCUGGACCUUGGACUUCCAGAGGAAGAGCCUUGGCACUGGCGGCCGCUUCUUCCCAUCGCUCGCGUUAGUGUC